RNAcentral lists this long non-coding RNA (355 nucleotides) under Elaeis guineensis (African oil palm). RNAcentral describes it as "long non-coding RNA (EGUI_LNC081398)". The record is from RNAcentral. Lineage: Eukaryota; Viridiplantae; Streptophyta; Magnoliopsida; Arecales; Arecaceae.
GUGGUUAUUUAAUUGAUUCCAUUGCUGGCCUGGUCAAUUUUAUUGGUGUCUAAGAAAAGCAACGGGGGGACCCCCCAUCCAAUCUUAACACUUUUCUGGCCAAUUGGAUUAGUUCAAAUCUUGAAUGAUGGCAGCUUAGUGUUUUAAACACUACAUAUGCCUUCUUUCAUGCCUAGUCAAUAUCCUGUCAGAAAUCAUAGGAGGUUUGUUAUGAUAUCCACAAGACUUGCUAUGGGGAUUGAUGUGGGUUUGUCUUGGUGCAUAUUAGAUGCUUUACGGUAUAUUUUGGAUAUGUUGCUUUAUUGUGAUAUCCGCAAAGAUAGCAUUUUUCAGAUAUGACUGUAUGAAAAUGAAG